AUUGAACGCUGGCGGAAUGCUUUACACAUGCAAGUCGAACGGCAGCACGGGGCAACCUGGUGGCGAGUGGCGAACGGGUGAGUAAUAUAUCGGAACGUGCCCAAUCGUGGGGGAUAACGUAGCGAAAGUUACGCUAAUACCGCAUACGAUCUACGGAUGAAAGCGGGGGAUCGCAAGACCUCGCGCGAAUGGAGCGGCCGAUAUCAGAUUAGGUAGUUGGUGGGGUAAAGGCUUACCAAGCCCGCGAUCUGUAGCUGGUCUGAGAGGAUGAUCAGCCACACUGGGACUGAGACACGGCCCAGACUCCUACGGGAGGCAGCAGUGGGGAAUUUUGGACAAUGGGCGAAAGCCUGAUCCAGCCAUUCCGCGUGCAGGAUGAAGGCCCUCGGGUUGUAAACUGCUUUGUACAGAACGAAAAAGCUCUUUCUAAUACAGAGAGUCCAUGACGGUACUGUAAGAAUAAGCACCGGCUAACUACGUGCCAGCAGCCGCGGUAAU
This 498-nucleotide ribosomal RNA is filed under the name uncultured bacterium. RNAcentral's name for it is "bacterial SSU rRNA". It matches the Rfam family "Bacterial small subunit ribosomal RNA", at positions 30 to 524 of the family's 1533-position model. The record is from RNAcentral.